GUGCUUACUUCAGCAGCACAUGUACUAUAUAAUUGGAACAGUACAGAGAUUAACAUGCUCCCUGCUGUAGGAUGAUAUGCAGAUUUGUGAUGUGUUUGAUAUUUAA
RNAcentral lists this small nuclear RNA (106 nucleotides) under Tursiops truncatus (common bottlenose dolphin). Lineage: Eukaryota; Metazoa; Chordata; Mammalia; Artiodactyla; Delphinidae. The record is from RNAcentral.